This 478-nucleotide ribosomal RNA is filed under the name uncultured bacterium. RNAcentral's name for it is "partial 16S ribosomal RNA". It matches the Rfam family "Bacterial small subunit ribosomal RNA", at positions 28 to 523 of the family's 1533-position model. The record is from RNAcentral.
GACGAACGCUGGCGGCGUGCUUAACACAUGCAAGUCGAACGGUAAGGCCCUUCGGGGUACACGAGUGGCGAACGGGUGAGUAACACGUGGGUGAUGUGCCCUGCACUUCGGGAUAAGCCUGGGAAACUGGGUCUAAUACCGGAUAGGACUCCGGACUGCAUGGGCUGGGGUGGAAAGCUUUUGCGGUGUGGGAUGGGCCCGGGGCCUAUCAGCUUGUUGGUGGGGUGAUGGCCUACCAAGGCGACGACGGGUAGCCGGCCUGAGAGGGGGACCGGCCACACUGGGACUGAGAUACGGCCCAGACUCCUACGGGAGGCAGCAGUGGGGAAUAUUGCACAAUGGGCGCAAGCCUGAUGCAGCGACGCCGCGUGAGGGAUGACGGCCUUCGGGUUGUAAACCUCCUUCAGCAUCGACGAAGCGAAAGUGACGGUAGGUGCAGAAGAAGGACCGGCCAACUACGUGCCAGCCGCCGCCGUAA